UGAGGAACAUGACCUUCGGCGGGGGAUAGCCGGCCCAACGGCCGGGUAAUACCGCGUACGACCCUCGGGGGGCAUCCCCUGAAGGUGAAAGCCGCAAGGCGCCGAUGGAGAACUUCGCGGCCUAUCAGCUAGUUGGUGGGGUCAUGGCUCACCAAGGCGACGACGGGUAGCCGGUCCGAGAGGAUGACCGGCCACACUGGGACUGAGACACGGCCCAGACUCCUACGGGAGGUAG
This 235-nucleotide ribosomal RNA is filed under the name uncultured bacterium. RNAcentral describes it as "partial 16S ribosomal RNA". It matches the Rfam family "Bacterial small subunit ribosomal RNA", at positions 118 to 351 of the family's 1533-position model. The record is from RNAcentral.